Molecule: ribosomal RNA, 427 nt
Filed under: uncultured Acinetobacter sp.
Lineage: Bacteria; Pseudomonadati; Pseudomonadota; Gammaproteobacteria; Moraxellales; Moraxellaceae
Description: bacterial SSU rRNA
Rfam family: Bacterial small subunit ribosomal RNA
Source: RNAcentral
GGGGAAUAUUGGACAAUGGGGGGAACCCUGAUCCAGCCAUGCCGCGUGUGUGAAGAAGGCCUUAUGGUUGUAAAGCACUUUAAGCGAGGAGGAGGCUCUUUUGGUUAAUACCCAAGAUGAGUGGACGUUACUCGCAGAAUAAGCACCGGCUAACUCUGUGCCAGCAGCCGCGGUAAUACAGAGGGUGCGAGCGUUAAUCGGAUUUACUGGGCGUAAAGCGUGCGUAGGCGGCUUUUUAAGUCGGAUGUGAAAUCCCCGAGCUUAACUUGGGAAUUGCAUUCGAUACUGGGAAGCUAGAGUAUGGGAGAGGGAAGCGGAAUUCCUAGUGUAGCGGUGAAAUGCGUAGAUAUUAGGAGGAACACCAGUGGCGAAGGCGGCUUUCUGGACUGUAACUGACGCUGAUGCACGAAAGCGUGGGGAGCAAACA